GGGCGGGGACGAUUAUUGGGCCUAAGCAUCCGUAGCCGGCUCUGCAGUCUUCCGUUAAAUCCACCUGCUCAACAGAUGGGCUGCUGGAGAUACUACAGAGCUAGGGAGCGGGAGAGGCAGACGGUAUUCAGUGGGUAGGGGUAAAAUCCUCUGAUCCAUUGAAGACCACCAGUGGCGAAGGCGGUCUGCCAGAACGCGCUCGACGGUGAGGGAUGAAAGCUGGGGGAGCAAACCGGAUUAGAUACCCGGGUAGUCCCAGCUGUAAACGAUGCAGACUCGGUGAUGCAUUGGCUUAUUGCCAAUGCAGUGCCGCAGGGAAGCCGUUAAGUCUGCCGCCUGGGAAGUACGGACGCAAGACUGAAACUUAAAGGAAUUGGCGGGGGGAGCACAAA
RNAcentral lists this ribosomal RNA (392 nucleotides) under uncultured archaeon. Its description in RNAcentral is "bacterial SSU rRNA". It matches the Rfam family "Archaeal small subunit ribosomal RNA", at positions 489 to 882 of the family's 1478-position model. The record is from RNAcentral.